UACGUAGGGUGCAAGCGUUAAUCGGAAUUACUGGGCGUAAAGCGUGCGCAGGCGGUUAUGUAAGACAGGUGUGAAAUCCCCGGGCUUAACCUGGGAACUGCAUUUGUGACUGCAUAGCUAGAGUACGGCAGAGGGGGAUGGAAUUCCGCGUGUAGCAGUGAAAUGCGUAGAUAUCUGGAGGAAUACCGGUGGCGAAGGCGGCAUCCUGGACCGACAUUGACGCUGAGGAGCGAAAGCUAGGGGAGCAAACGGG
Molecule: ribosomal RNA, 253 nt
Filed under: uncultured bacterium
Lineage: Bacteria
Description: partial 16S ribosomal RNA
Rfam family: Bacterial small subunit ribosomal RNA
Source: RNAcentral